ACCGUUUUGAAUCAUAACCUACGUCUGAUUUUAUGCCAUCACAGGAAGUAAUAGAUUCACUGGUUUUAACAGAUGAACUUGAUCUACCUAAUCAUCACGCACGGAAGCCAAAAUGACAUUUAAUCUUUCUUAUUUGAGUAAAGCUACAAGAGCAAUAUACCAUCAAUUAACACAAAAGCAGAUAUUACUGAGCGUCUGAGCACAUGAAUACUAAUACUACAUUAGAAGUGGAACAAAUCGCCAAUGCCGCAUGGAUAACAUACACAGAGAUCCCUAAAUAAGCUUUCUCCCAACAUUAAACAUGUCCAAGCAGCAAUAUUUCCCUAAGAAUGUAUCACCUAGCUACUAAACGCAACAUACACAACGUUCGGUGAUGGACGUUACAUGCUGGUUAAUUUUGCAAAUUUGCUGGAAUGCUCUGCUGUGAACCUAUGGCCUACAAAAUCUCCAGGACUUGCCCUCGAAACUGGAUGCAGUAAGUUGAUCACGAAACUCCAUCAGACCAAGACAUCUCCAGAUUUCCCCCAAAAUGAGAGUUCGGUAAGCUACCACCAUCAGCUUCCUAAUUGAUCACCCCACAAAAAAGAACUUCAUAAUUGAUUGUAGAGCAGUAGUUUUGAGAAACCUGAAAACAAAAAUAAGAAACAUUAGGCACAUUUGAGUAAACAUGUCAACAGAAUGAGUGAUACGGAAAAACAGCAAAACGAAAUUCAGUAAACAGAAACACUACUAUAAUCCAUCAAUGUGCAUUUCUAAAACUGAAAUAAUAUAGUGAAAUAUCACCUGGUCACCUGGAUAACACGUUUAUUUUCUAUCCAAGGCCUGACUGUAGCAUAAAAUUAGACUGUGGUCAAUUUUAAGAAAGAUCAAGCUUCAGUUUCAGGUUUUAAUCAGCUUGUUAUAAUAUUCAGGAAAAGGGAAGACAACGGACAUCAUAAUGACAAGGCUAAAUGUCCUUCAGAUUCUAAUACAGUGAUCACCUGAUGAAGAAGGCUAGGCAUCCUUUGUGCCUGAUAGUUCAGAAAC
This 1026-nucleotide long non-coding RNA is filed under the name Triticum aestivum (bread wheat). RNAcentral's name for it is "long non-coding RNA (TAES_LNC008185)". Lineage: Eukaryota; Viridiplantae; Streptophyta; Magnoliopsida; Poales; Poaceae. The record is from RNAcentral.